GGAGACGUGGCCGAGUGGCUAAAGGCGCUGGUUUGCUAAACCAGUAUAGUGGCUAAACCGCUAUCAAGGGUUCGAAUCCCUUCGUCUCCG
RNAcentral lists this transfer RNA (90 nucleotides) under Deltaproteobacteria bacterium. RNAcentral describes it as "tRNA-Ser". It matches the Rfam family "tRNA". Rfam says of the family: Transfer RNA (tRNA) molecules are approximately 80 nucleotides in length. Their secondary structure includes four short double-helical elements and three loops (D, anti-codon, and T loops). The record is from RNAcentral. Lineage: Bacteria; Pseudomonadati; Myxococcota; Myxococcia.